AUUGAACGCUGGCGGCAGGCCUAACACAUGCAAGUCGAGCGGAUGAAGGGAGCUUUUUCCUGGAUUCAGCGGCGGACGGGUGAGUAAUUCAUAGGAAUCUGCCUGAUCUUUGGGGAUAACGUCCGUAAUCGGGCCCUAAUACCGUAUCCGUUCUGAUGUUGAAAGUGGGGGUUCUUUGGACCUCACGCUAUUAGAUGACCCUUGGCCGUAUUAGCUCGUUGGUGGGGUAAGGUCCUACCAAGGCGACGAUCCGUGACUGGUCUGCGAGGAUGAUCAGGGACACUGUGACUGAGAGACAGUCCAGACUCCUACGGGAGGCAGAAGAGGGGAAUAUUGGACGAUAGGCGAGAGCCUGAUCCAGACAAGCCGCGUGUGUGAAGAAAGUGUUCGGAUUGUGAAAAACUUUGAGAUGGGAGAAAGGGAAGUAAGUUAAUACCUAGCUGUUUUGACGUUACAAACAGAAUAAGAGCCGGCUAACAUCGUG
This 484-nucleotide ribosomal RNA is filed under the name uncultured bacterium. RNAcentral's name for it is "partial 16S ribosomal RNA". It matches the Rfam family "Bacterial small subunit ribosomal RNA", at positions 30 to 507 of the family's 1533-position model. The record is from RNAcentral.